AAAAGCAUUACAGGGUGAAUCUCUAUUGGCAGGGGACUCUGAUCACUCAAUUUUUUUGUCUUCAUUUUCCUCUGCCAAAGGAGAUUUGCCUAGCAAUUUUUUC
RNAcentral lists this microRNA precursor (103 nucleotides) under Brassica oleracea var. oleracea. RNAcentral describes it as "mir-399 microRNA precursor family". It matches the Rfam family "mir-399 microRNA precursor family". Rfam says of the family: mir-399 was identified in both Arabidopsis thaliana and Oryza sativa computationally and was later experimentally verified. mir-399 is thought to target mRNAs coding for a phosphatase transporter. The mature sequence is excised from the 3' arm of the hairpin. Lineage: Eukaryota; Viridiplantae; Streptophyta; Magnoliopsida; Brassicales; Brassicaceae. The record is from Rfam by way of RNAcentral.